Molecule: non-coding RNA, 143 nt
Organism: Gossypium raimondii (Peruvian cotton)
Lineage: Eukaryota; Viridiplantae; Streptophyta; Magnoliopsida; Malvales; Malvaceae
Source: Rfam
UGUUAAAAAAAUUCAUCUUUUUUAUUGUUAAAAAUUGGCAUGGCUUAUAGAAUAACGAAAUAGUGACGCUUUGUGUGCCAUGUGUAUUUCAUGCUCACGCAGGACUAUUUUUUUAAUAGUAGAAAUUGAUGAAAUUCGUAACA